AUUGAACGCUAGCGGGAUGCUUUACACAUGCAAGUCGAACGAGUGGCGGACGGGUGAGUAAUAUAUCGGAACGCGCCCAGUAGGGGGGGAUAACUAGUCGAAAGCGUGGGUAAUAACGCAUACUCUAGGAGCGGCCGAUAUCGGAUGGGCGAGUUGGCGGGGUAAAGGCUCACCAAGGCAACGAUCCGUAGCUGGUUUGAGAGGACGACCAGCCACACUGGGACUAGGACACGGCCCAGACUCCUCCGGGAGGCAGCAGUGGGGAAUUUUGGACAAUGGGGGAAACCCUGCUCCAGCCAUCCCGCGUGUAUGAGAAGGCCUUCGGGUUGAAAAGUACUUUUGGCAGAGAAGCGGUAUCUGCAGAAUAAGCACCGGCUAACUACGUGCCAGCAGCCGCGGUAAUUC
This 405-nucleotide ribosomal RNA is filed under the name uncultured bacterium. RNAcentral's name for it is "partial 16S ribosomal RNA". It matches the Rfam family "Bacterial small subunit ribosomal RNA", at positions 30 to 526 of the family's 1533-position model. The record is from RNAcentral.